GAAAGAAAUAAAAAAAGAUAGCAAGAAGAAAAAAAGAACAGAAAGACAACGAGAAAAAAAAGGAGGAACUGUAUCACAUUUAUGCAAACUGAGGGGGAAAGAGAGGCACCGUAGAAUGAAGGCUUUCCUUACUGUCGUAAGCGCUAGAGGGAUGCUUUGCUAGAAAAGUCUCCGUGUCGGGGCGGGGUGAGGAGAGCUGAGGGGCGCUUUGCCUUCCCUCACCGGUGCGUUUUACCUCUCGAGGCACCGUAAGUUUGAAGUCCUCCAAGUUGUGUUCGGCGCCAUCAUGACGCCGGCGACUGUGUUCAAUAGCUCACUGUGAUUGUUGAGAAGUCAA
This is a long non-coding RNA of Nomascus leucogenys (northern white-cheeked gibbon), 337 nucleotides long. RefSeq lists it as uncharacterized. The transcript has 2 exons. The record is from RefSeq and is a predicted model, not a curated record. Lineage: Eukaryota; Metazoa; Chordata; Mammalia; Primates; Hylobatidae.